This 801-nucleotide ribosomal RNA is filed under the name Helvella panormitana. RNAcentral's name for it is "eukaryotic LSU rRNA". The stretch from base 440 to 593 matches the Rfam family "5.8S ribosomal RNA". Lineage: Eukaryota; Fungi; Ascomycota; Pezizomycetes; Pezizales; Helvellaceae. The record is from RNAcentral.
AGGUUUCCAUAGGUGAACCUGUGGAAGGAUCAUUAUCAGGACAAUAACACCAAAGAUUCAAGGAACAUGGGUAGAGGGUGGGAUAAGUUCAACUCAGACUCAGGGCGGCCUGUGUUGGGGGGAGGCCAUUGUCCCUGGGGCCGGAGUUGGCCAUGGGGCCGUGAUGACGGCUCACUCUGACGUGGCGUAAGGCGGAAGCCCAGCGCCUGCAAUGCCACGCCCUCCGCGCUCAGUCAAACCCACUGGCCGGGUUCAAACACUCAUUCCGAAAGAACCAAAAUCCAUCUGCAUACACCUCCCCGUUGCUUCCCCGGGACGUACCCCAUGGGAGGCCCCCGAGCAAACCAGGCUGCCCAACCAACCAGCAGUGCCUCCUCCGUCUGACAGCCGGCGAGCCAGAGGAAGCAGGAACGAGCGAUGAAACAAAAACAAGAAAGAAAACUUUCAACAACGGAUCUCUUGGUUCCUGCAUCGAUGAAGAACGCAGCGAAAUGCGAUAAGUAAUGUGAAUUGCAGAAUUCAGUGAAUCAUCGAAUCUUUGAACGCACAUUGCGCCCCCUGGCAUUCUGGGGGGCAUGCCUGUUCGAGCGUCUCUGGGACGAACCCUCACACGAGCGAACGCAUGGUCAUGGUGGCGGUGGCGUGCCCGAUGGGGCGGCCACCACGCUGGAAGCUAAUGGCGGACGCCUGCUGUGUGGCCGAGCAUGAUACGAUGUGAUGGUGCUCCCGCGUGGCGAAGCUGCCAGCCCUUCCCCGUCCUUCCAGGGCGGGAGGGCAGCGAGCAAAAAGAUAUGGGCACUC